UACGUAGGGGGCGAGCGUUGUCCGGAUUUAUUGGGCGUAAAGAGCUCGUAGGCGGUUUGGCAAGUCGGGUGUGAAAACUCCGGGCUCAACUCGGAGACGCCACUCGAUACUGCCAUGACUCGAGUCCGGUAGGGGAGUGCGGAAUUCCUGGUGUAGCGGUGAAAUGCGCAGAUAUCAGGAGGAACACCGGUGGCGAAGGCGGCUCUCUGGGCCGGUACUGACGCUGAGGAGCGAAAGCGUGGGGAGCGAACAGG
This 254-nucleotide ribosomal RNA is filed under the name uncultured bacterium. RNAcentral describes it as "partial 16S ribosomal RNA". It matches the Rfam family "Bacterial small subunit ribosomal RNA", at positions 524 to 776 of the family's 1533-position model. The record is from RNAcentral.